This 93-nucleotide long non-coding RNA is filed under the name Sus scrofa (pig). RNAcentral describes it as "lncRNA (ENSSSCG00070001856.1)". Lineage: Eukaryota; Metazoa; Chordata; Mammalia; Artiodactyla; Suidae. The record is from RNAcentral.
UGAGUCUGAACAACACUCUAACCAGUUUUUUUUGGAUCAUUUAAGUUAAACAUUUUGGUGGAGUGCUUGUGCUUUAGCCACUCAUCUUUCAAC